Molecule: ribosomal RNA, 492 nt
Filed under: uncultured bacterium
Lineage: Bacteria
Description: partial 16S ribosomal RNA
Rfam family: Bacterial small subunit ribosomal RNA
Source: RNAcentral
AGUGAACGCUGGCGGUAGGCCUAACACAUGCAAGUCGAACGGCAGCACAGUAAGAGCUUGCUCUUACGGGUGGCGAGUGGCGGACGGGUGAGGAAUACAUCGGAAUCUACUUUUUCGGGGGGGAUUACGUAGGGAAACUUACGCUAAUACCGCAUAUGACCUACGGGUGAAAGCAGGGGAUCUUCGGACCUUGCGCGAUUGAAUGAGCUGAUGUCGGAUUAGCUAGUUGGCGGGGUAAAGGCCCACCAAGGCGACGAUCCGUAGCUGGUCUGAGAGGAUGAUCAGCCACACUGGAACUGAGACACGGUCCAGACUCCUACGGGAGGCAGCAGUGGGGAAUAUUGGACAAUGGGCGCAAGCCUGAUCCAGCCAUACCGCGUGGGUGAAGAAGGCCUUCGGGUUGUAAAGCCCUUUUGUUGGGAAAGAAAAGCAGCAGGUUAAUACCCCGCUGUUCUGACGGUACCCAAAGAAUAAGCACCGGCUAACUUCGUG